RNAcentral lists this ribosomal RNA (443 nucleotides) under uncultured bacterium. RNAcentral's name for it is "partial 16S ribosomal RNA". It matches the Rfam family "Bacterial small subunit ribosomal RNA", at positions 338 to 795 of the family's 1533-position model. The record is from RNAcentral.
CCUACGGGGGGCAGCAGUGGGGAAUAUUGGGCAAUGGGCGCAAGCCUGACCCAGCAACGCCGCGUGAAGGAAGAAGGCUUUCGGGUUGUAAACUUCUUUUGUCAGGGACGAAGCAAGUGACGGUACCUUACGAAUAAGCCACGGCUAACUACGUGCCAGCAGCCGCGGUAAUACGUAGGUGGCAAGCGUUAUCCGGAUUUACUGGGUGUAAAGGGCGUGUAGGCGGGACUGCAAGUCAGAUGUGAAAACCACGGGCUCAACCUGUGGCGUGCAUGUGAAACUGUAGUUCUUGAGUACAGUAGAGGCAGACGGAAUUCCUAGUGUAGCGGUGAAAUGCGUAGAGAUUAGGAGGAACACCAGUGGCGAAGGCAGUCUGCUGGGCAGCAACUGACGCUGAGGCGCGAAAGCGUGGGGAGCAAACAGGAUUAGAUACCCUUGUAGUC